CCGAUGGCGGCACUGCUCGCCAUCCGGCCAAGUCCCCGACCACCUCCCCUCCUCGGAGGGGGGCCGGGGCAACAGAACCCACGGCGCCGACGGCGUCAAGGAACACUAUGCCUAACCCGAGGGUGUGGCUGGCUUGCUAGCCGCCCCUCGUGUUGCACUAUCUAAUCCAUACGACUCUCGGCAACGGAUAUCUCGGCUCUCGCAUCGAUGAAGAACGUAGCGAAAUGCGAUACYUGGUGUGAAUUGCAGAAUCCCGCGAACCAUCGAGUCUUUGAACGCAAGUUGCGCCCGAGGCCACCCGGCUGAGGGCACGCCUGCCUGGGCGUCACGCCAAUACACGCUCCCACCACCCUCAUUGGGUUGAGGGAUGCGGAUUCUGGCCCUUCGUGCCGUGAGGCACGGCGGGCUGAAGAUUGGGCUGCCGGCGUAUCGUGCCGGACACAGCGCGUGGUGGACUUCUACUCAGCGCAGUGCAUUUCGGCAUGUAGCCGGCGCAACGGCCCCAAGGACCCAACGAACGGAGCGCAUGUCGCU
Molecule: unclassified non-coding RNA, 534 nt
Filed under: Austrostipa drummondii
Lineage: Eukaryota; Viridiplantae; Streptophyta; Magnoliopsida; Poales; Poaceae
Description: sequence contains ITS1, 5.8S rRNA gene, ITS2
Source: RNAcentral